UUUUCCUUCCCUCUUUCCCGCGCAUCUCCUUUUUUUAGCAUACACAUAGGAAGUGCGGAGCGGGGACAGGGUUCGCCACGGCGGCGGUCUGGUUAUGAAAGGGGAGAGAGUCUAGAGUAGAGGGCUGGUAGGCGCGGAGCGGGACCUAGCGGGUCGAGGCGGCGAGGUGCCGGGCGGGGUGACGCGGCGAGGGUCCGGUCGGGGCGAGCCGGCGAGGGGACGGGUGGGGCAAGGCGGCGAGGUGAAGAUAAAGGGGCAGACAUGGCGUAACCACUGGAUCAGUGUGGUACCAGCGCUUCCCGCACCACCGGGACCGGUACAGCCGACCCACUGCCGCAGCACGGUGACCGCCACUGAGGUAGACGCUGCGGGAGUUGAGCACGACGGCGGGAACUGGCACCAUCUGCCACGGCGGGGGCGACUAACUUACUGUUGGCCUAAACGCACGACAACAUGCGGUGACGAUGGUAGGUAUUCCUACUGUUAACCUUCUUUUCGUAUAGCUGAAAGAGAUCGGUAGUUUGGACACGGACGAUGAGCCUUGUGAUACUACCUAUGUUUAUGGCGGCGGCGGCCAAGGUGGAAGAGUAAGUGAAAGAGGAGCACCUAGAGGUGUUGCUAGAUGAUAGGUUUAAGAUCUUUUAUCGCUUCUUGGUGGUCGAAACACACGAGUUGUUCUUUAUUUAGGAUCUAGAGAAGUGCUUCCGUCCUUGUACCACAACGGAGUUCAGAAGCACAACGUCUGCUACUUCCCUACAAACCCCCUAAGAAAAAGUCGGUCAGUGAUAACUCAUUGGUCAACCCAAGAACUACAAUUGUACCACCAUGUACAAAACCACAUUGUAAAACCACGUACAUAUCAAUUGUACAAAACACUACAUCUUUUGAGAUCAACUGGAUGUAGUUAUAUAUCCACGAUUAAUUCUACAAAUGAGUCAAUCUACAUCGUUUGAGACCGGUCGCACGGAUAAAAAACAGUUUGUAAACUACCGACCACUACAGAACCGUAGAUAACAUACGUACACUGCUAACUAUAGAUAGAUAUAUAAACUACAAUAAAAGU
This 1063-nucleotide ribosomal RNA is filed under the name Triticum aestivum (bread wheat). Its description in RNAcentral is "partial small subunit ribosomal RNA". Lineage: Eukaryota; Viridiplantae; Streptophyta; Magnoliopsida; Poales; Poaceae. The record is from RNAcentral.